Molecule: ribosomal RNA, 496 nt
Filed under: uncultured bacterium
Lineage: Bacteria
Description: partial 16S ribosomal RNA
Rfam family: Bacterial small subunit ribosomal RNA
Source: RNAcentral
GAUGAACGCUGGCGGCGUGCCUAAUACAUGCAAGUCGAGCGAACGGACGAGAAGCUUGCUUCUCUGAUGUUAGCGGCGGACGGGUGAGUAACACGUGGAUAACCUACCUAUAAGACUGGGAUAACUUCGGGAAACCGGAGCUAAUACCGGAUAAUAUUUUGAACCGCAUGGUUCAAAAGUGAAAGACGGUCUUGCUGUCACUUAUAGAUGGAUCCGCGCUGCAUUAGCUAGUUGGUAAGGUAACGGCUUACCAAGGCAACGAUGCAUAGCCGACCUGAGAGGUGGAUGGGCAAAACGGGAGGUGAGCCGCGACCAGGGGACGAAGGGGAGGAACAGACGGGGACGUGACGCAAAGGGGGGAAAGAUUAACGAAGAAACGCGAGGGGGAGGAAGAAGGUCUUGGGAUGGUAAACUCCUCUAGUAGGGAAAAACCAAAUGUGCAGGAAACAGGGACGAACUGACGGUAACUGAAAAAGAAGCCCCGGCUAACUACGUG